AACCGAAAUUUGGAAGUUUUACACAUUGACAAUGCGGUCACAGACCCAGAACAGUUUUGUUGGUUGUAACAAUGACCGCGAAAGUCUAUGCUUACACAUUUUUUGCAGUUUUGCUGUAAUUGCUUUAUUUCUGUUAACUGUAUUAGGGAACGUAAAAUUGAUUGUGUCAUCUUACUGUUGCGAUACGACAUGAUACAACAGACAGUGGACAGUCAAGUGUCUGAGUUGGUUGUGGUCAUCUCCAUUUCGUGUGCAUAAUUGACUGGAACGUCUACUCAACACAGUUGUUGUCCAUCAGAAUAAGUGUGCGUGUUAUGGUGCUCGCAUAUGAACAGGUCUUAUUGAUAUACUUUUAAUCUUGCGUGGAAUGUUUCUACAGUGCACGGAUAGCGUCAUCACCGUAUAGUCAACACAAAAGCUAUACGAAAGACAAUCUUCAAAAUCAUCUAUAUCGAUAGUAUGGUGAGGCACUCUCAAGCGAAUGUUUUCUGUUCCUUUUCUCUCAUGAACUGAGAAAGAACUACGAAAUGGAAGAUAAAUGAUCCAUGAUCUUACACAUCAAUGAGGCAACUGUGGCGGAGACGACGAACGUACGCACAAAGAACAUCCUACAAAAGUGCGCGAGUGUGUUAUAGGUGUUUUGUACUCAUUUGGUGUCAAUUUUCUGCGUGUGUUAUACUAUCUUCCUACUUACAUAACUAGAGGACUCGCGAUGUUGGAACAUUCGACACCGGCCACCAGAACCUGGAGGAUCCGAGAUAGGUAUCUGCAUUAACUGAGAAGAGGAAAUCUUACAGAUCAACGCAGUGGCGCAGAAUUACAUCGUGGAAAAGGAAACAAGAAGAGUUCCGAGAAGCAUAGGGGAUAUUCGGCACAAAGUGUAACACGUGCAAAGUCGGCAACCAGACAACUGAAUGAAAAGCCAAGUAAUGUAUGACUGGAGCUGAUCAAAAUGUAAUUAAUGAUUUUGUGGAGAAUAAACCAAAA
Long non-coding RNA from Schistocerca americana (American grasshopper), 987 nucleotides. RefSeq lists it as uncharacterized. Lineage: Eukaryota; Metazoa; Arthropoda; Insecta; Orthoptera; Acrididae. The transcript is spliced from 3 exons. The record is from RefSeq and is a predicted model, not a curated record.